This 358-nucleotide ribosomal RNA is filed under the name Haptophyta environmental samples. Its description in RNAcentral is "SSU rRNA". It matches the Rfam family "Eukaryotic small subunit ribosomal RNA", at positions 595 to 957 of the family's 1831-position model. Lineage: Eukaryota; Haptophyta. The record is from RNAcentral.
UAGCGUAUAUUAAAGUUGUUGCAGUUAAAAAGCUCGUAGUCGGAUUUCGGGGCGGGCCGAGCGGUCUGCCGAUGGGUAUGCACUGUUCGGCGCGUCCUUCUUUCCGGAGACUGCGCCUACUCUUAGCUGAGCGGGCGUGGGAGACGGAUCGUUUACUUUGAAAAAAUCAGAGUGUUUCAAGCAGGCAGCUCGCUCUUGCAUGGAUUAGCAUGGGAUAAUGAAAUAGGACUCUGGUGCUAUUUUGUUGGUUUCGAACACCGGAGUAAUGAUUAACAGGGACAGUCAGGGGCACUCGUAUUCCGUCGAGAGAGGUGAAAUUCUCAGACCAAUGGAAGACGAACCACUGCGAAAGCAUUUG